RNAcentral lists this ribosomal RNA (253 nucleotides) under uncultured bacterium. RNAcentral describes it as "partial 16S ribosomal RNA". It matches the Rfam family "Bacterial small subunit ribosomal RNA", at positions 524 to 776 of the family's 1533-position model. The record is from RNAcentral.
UACGUAGGGCGCAAGCGUUGUCCGGAAUUAUUGGGCGUAAAGAGCUUGUAGGUGGCUCGUUGCGUCGGGAGUGAAAACCUGCGGCUUAACCGCAGGCCUGCUUCCGAUACGGGCGAGCUAGAGUUCGGCAGGGGAGACUGGAAUUCCUGGUGUAGCGGUGGAAUGCGCAGAUAUCAGGAGGAACACCGGUGGCGAAGGCGGGUCUCUGGGCCGUUACUGACGCUGAGGAGCGAAAGCGUGGGGAGCGAACAGG